UUCCAAGGCCACACCUGACUGAAUGCACCUGAUCUCAGCUGACCUCGCAAGCUACACUAACCUUGGGCGCUUGGAUGAGAGACUGCCUGGGAAU
Molecule: ribosomal RNA, 94 nt
Filed under: Pelodiscus sinensis (Chinese soft-shelled turtle)
Lineage: Eukaryota; Metazoa; Chordata; Testudines; Trionychidae
Source: RNAcentral